Lycium ferocissimum is the source of this 387-nucleotide long non-coding RNA. RefSeq lists it as uncharacterized. The transcript is spliced from 2 exons. NCBI's taxonomy places the organism in Eukaryota, Viridiplantae, Streptophyta, Magnoliopsida, Solanales, Solanaceae. The record is from RefSeq and is a predicted model, not a curated record.
AGAGAAGCAGUUGUUUAAGCAGUUGAAGCAAGGGGAAAUACUAAUAUUCAGGCAAAAACCCUAGUGGCCCUGAAUCUGGGGAUAGUGGGAACUUGCAUUUUUUUUAAUAUUUUUCCUUUUUAGCGUUUUAAGGUUUUGGGAAUUCUACUAAAAUUUGCAUAGGGGAUUAAUUCCUAAUUAUUAUUAUUAUAUAUAAAUUUCAUUCUUCUCUUUCAAAUUAAUUGGUUCCUCCGAAAAUAUUAGUAACUCCUAGGCAAAAAUAGGUAAUUUGACUAAAUUAUCCCUAAUUAAUAAGUAUUGGAUUUGGUCACUUAACACUUAAUUAGAGCAAAUAUGGAAAGUUAAGGUUAAUUCUUGCUUAAUUUGUUAAGUGAAUACUCUUUUUUU